This 353-nucleotide ribosomal RNA is filed under the name uncultured bacterium. RNAcentral describes it as "bacterial SSU rRNA". It matches the Rfam family "Bacterial small subunit ribosomal RNA", at positions 9 to 353 of the family's 1533-position model. The record is from RNAcentral.
GAGUUUUGAUCCUGGCUCAGGAUAAACGCUAGCGGCAGGCCUAACACAUGCAAGUCGAGGGGCAGCGGGUGGAGUAUUUCGGUACUCCUGCCGGCGACCGGCGCACGGGUGCGUAACGCGUAUGCAACCUACCUUUAACAGGGGGAUAAUCCGAAGAAAUUUGGUCUAAUACCCCAUAAUAUCAUUUAAGGCAUCUUAGAUGGUUGAAAAUUCCGAUGGUUAGAGAUGGGCAUGCGUUGUAUUAGCUAGUUGGUGAGGUAACGGCUCACCAAGGCUACGAUACAUAGGGGACUGAGAGGUUUUCCCCCCACACUGGUACUGAGACACGGACCAGACUCCUACGGGAGGCAGCA